RNAcentral lists this long non-coding RNA (397 nucleotides) under Rattus norvegicus (Norway rat). Its description in RNAcentral is "long non-coding RNA NONRATT019084". Lineage: Eukaryota; Metazoa; Chordata; Mammalia; Rodentia; Muridae. The record is from RNAcentral.
GUGAUACGCGUGUGGUCGCCUGGGCGACGAAGCUGGCACUGAAUUGUAGAAGGGAGGCCUAGCAGGCAGGCCGAAGCCAUGGACAUAGAUGCCGAACGAGAGAAGGUAACACAGGAGAUCCAGGAGCUCGAAAGGAUUCUGUAUCCUGGAUCCUCCAGCGUCCACUUUGAGGUCUCUGAAUCCAGUCUCAGUUCGGACUCUGAAGCAGGUCAGUGUGCCUAGCCUAGCAUGGCAUGGCUGGGCCAGCCGUGUGACCCUUUAGCUACAUGAGGCUGAGAGCUGUUCCAUGGUCAGACUCUGUUUCUUGCCCAAACCGUUCUCUGCUCUCACCUCAUUUAAGAAAGUUAGUUCCAGUCUCUUGGUCUUAGCUGUCAGGACUGUUGACUGUAGGUGCACA